CUCCUCUUUUGGCUUUUUCUGCUUGUGGCCGCCUCAGGUAGCCAGCCCAUCUGUGCACAUCCCCAUGGGCCCCUGGGAGAAUUCCA
Molecule: microRNA precursor, 86 nt
Filed under: Vicugna pacos (alpaca)
Lineage: Eukaryota; Metazoa; Chordata; Mammalia; Artiodactyla; Camelidae
Description: miRNA (ENSVPAG00000016582.1)
Source: RNAcentral